AACCAUACAACCAGACUUCAUAGAAGUCUCAAACUAUGUACAAACAGUGAACAAGAACAACCUGUUAGGACGGAGGGAUUAUUAAUUUAUUACACAAUACUAUAUUACAUUUUCAGAUCUUCAAACUAUAAUAUAUACAGUAGAUCUCUGAUGUAUCGGAGUGGGAAUGCUGAGGCAGAAUGACAGAUCCUUCACUUGGAAAUCUUUUGAUGGCACAUAUUUUAACACAGCCAUUCCCACAGGCCACACCCCACUUUCACUUUUUUCAUUCAACAAAUGCCUUCUUUUACUGAAACAUCAUAUGUUGACCAGUCAACGUACUAAUCCCUAUAAUAUCUCUGGACCCCAUUGGUCCCCAUUGACAUGGCCCACUAAUAAUAUUUGUCCCCCGCCUAGAAAAACGCAAACAGCACAGUGUUUUCCCAGAGCAGGUUUGAAACAUGAACAAGGCAAAUUAGGCUAGUUAAGGAUUUUCAUAGGAUCCAAAUGCAGAUACAGAGUGGAAACAAUGAUUGUGGGUUGAUGAUAUGUUUGCUGCCUCUGACAUGGUAAUAACCGUUUGGAAUAUGUGUG
This 573-nucleotide long non-coding RNA is filed under the name Daucus carota (carrot). Its description in RNAcentral is "long non-coding RNA (DCAR_LNC001274)". Lineage: Eukaryota; Viridiplantae; Streptophyta; Magnoliopsida; Apiales; Apiaceae. The record is from RNAcentral.